UAUUCCCUACGGGGGGCAGCAGUGGGGAAUAUUGCACAAUGGGGGGAACCCUGAUGCAGCGACGCCGCGUGAGUGAAGAAGUAUUUCGGUAUGUAAAGCUCUGUCAGCAGGGAAGAAGAAAGACGGUACCUGACCAAGAAGCCCCGGCUAACUACGUGCCAGCAGCCGCGGUAAUACGUAGGGGGCAAGCGUUAUCCGGAUUUACUGGGUGUAAAGGGAGCGUAGCCGGCAGGGCAAGUCUGGUGUGAACGGCAGGGGCC
This 260-nucleotide ribosomal RNA is filed under the name uncultured bacterium. RNAcentral describes it as "partial 16S ribosomal RNA". It matches the Rfam family "Bacterial small subunit ribosomal RNA", at positions 333 to 609 of the family's 1533-position model. The record is from RNAcentral.